GACACCGGCACAUGGGCGAACGCGGCCGCGACCGCCUGCGCCUGAUCGACCGACAGCUCGUCGAACAGCUCGCCGGUAUCCGCAAAGACGACCGUCGGGUUCCGCGAUCCGAAGCGGUAGACAGGACGAUCGAGCAGCGUGGCUAAGGUCGCCCGGCCGAUCGGGUCGAGGUCGGCGCGUUCAGCGGCCUGCGCCGGCGUCAGCUGCACGCGCGAAAAGUCCACCGCCUGCAAACGCUCGAGCCGCAGCUCCGGCGUCACCCGCGGCAUCCCGCCCCAAUACAUCAUUGUGAUGCCCGUGGCGAACCACAUGAUGACGAGCAGGCUGAGGACGAUCCCCAGAUAGCGGUGCGAGAGGAUUACUGCCCGGCGGAAAAGGCGCAUCGGCGGCAGUGUAACAGGCCUAAGGGCUAAGGCCGAAGGCUGAAGGGCUGGUCCGGGAAGAAGGCAAAAGGGCGACGGCCGAAGGCCCAAGGGCUGGUCCAGGAAGAAGGCGAAAGGGCGACGGCCGAAGGCACAAGGGCUGGUCCAGGAAGAAGGCGAAAGGGCGACGGCCGAAGGCACAAGGGCUGGUCAAGGAUUAGGGCACAAGGAUUAAGGAGAGCCGGAGGGAACAGGGACGGCAGUACGCAGUUCUCGCCAGCAACGACGGCUUCUCGCGUUGAGGUUUCUGCGACGGCACCGGUCGGUCGAAUGCUUCACGGCCUGGUCGCAUCGCUCGAGCGCGCACGUUGAACGACGGACUGCCGCCCUGACUCCUGUUGCCUGGACCCUAGACCAACCCUUCGGCCUUAGCCCUUCGGCCUUUGGCCUCCUGAUCUCACCCCUGAUGCCUUGACCCUUCUUCCUGGGCCAGCCCUUAAGCCUUGGGCCUGAUUCCUGAGGCCUGCUCUUAUGGGUUCUUGCAGC
Molecule: unclassified non-coding RNA, 908 nt
Filed under: uncultured fungus
Lineage: Eukaryota; Fungi
Description: sequence contains 18S rRNA gene, ITS1, 5.8S rRNA gene, ITS2, 28S rRNA gene
Source: RNAcentral